GCUACUAUUCUGUGCGGUUUUCUUCUGGCAUCCAUCAUUCAGCUUUCAGCAGCGAACCCCAAAGUAACCAUGAAAACUACUCUUGGGGAUGUUGUGCUGGAAUUGGAUGCUGAGAAGGCUCCCAUCUCAACACUGAAUUUCCUCAGGUAUGCCCAAUCAAAAUACUAUGAUGGCACUGUCUUCCAUCGUGUGAUACCCACAUUCAUGAUUCAAGGGGGUGGCUUUGAUGCAAAGCUGGACAAGAAACUCAAAGGGCUAAUGGCUCCA
Molecule: ribosomal RNA, 267 nt
Filed under: Rhabdomonas sp.
Lineage: Eukaryota; Euglenozoa; Anisonemea; Natomonadida; Astasiidae
Description: partial small subunit ribosomal RNA
Source: RNAcentral